GGCCUACGGGGGGCAGCAGUGGGGAAUAUUGCACAAUGGGGGAAACCCUGAUGCAGCGACGCCGCGUGAGUGAAGAAGUAAUUCGUUAUGUAAAGCUCUAUCAGCAGGGAAGAAAAUGACGGUACCUGAGUAAGAAGCCCCGGCUAACUACGCGCCAGCAGCCGCGGUAAUACGUAGGGGGCAAGCGUUAUCCGGAUUUACUGGGUGUAAAGGGAGCGUAGACGGCAGUGCAAGUCAGGAGUGAAAGCCCGGGGCCCAACCCCGGGACUGCUCUUGGAACUGCGCGGCUGGAGUGCAGGAGGGGC
RNAcentral lists this ribosomal RNA (305 nucleotides) under uncultured bacterium. RNAcentral describes it as "bacterial SSU rRNA". It matches the Rfam family "Bacterial small subunit ribosomal RNA", at positions 335 to 658 of the family's 1533-position model. The record is from RNAcentral.